This 76-nucleotide transfer RNA is filed under the name Varibaculum cambriense. RNAcentral describes it as "tRNA-His". It matches the Rfam family "tRNA". Rfam says of the family: Transfer RNA (tRNA) molecules are approximately 80 nucleotides in length. RNAcentral also lists the same sequence under 6 other names. Lineage: Bacteria; Bacillati; Actinomycetota; Actinomycetes; Actinomycetales; Actinomycetaceae. The record is from RNAcentral.
GUGGCUGUAGUUCAGUUGGUAGAACGCCUGGUUGUGGUCCAGGAGGUCGCGGGUUCGAGCCCCGUCAGCCACCCCA